CCUACGGGUGGCAGCAGUGGGGAAUAUUGGACAAUGGGGGGAACCCUGAUCCAGCCAUGCCGCGUGUGUGAAGAAGGCCCUCGGGUUGUAAAGCACUUUCAGUGAGGAAGAACGCCUGGUGGUUAAUACCCAUCAGGAAAGACAUCACUCACAGAAGAAGCACCGGCUAACUCCGUGCCAGCAGCCGCGGUAAUACGGAGGGUGCGAGCGUUAAUCGGAAUUACUGGGCGUAAAGCGCGCGUAGGUGGCUUGAUAAGCCGGUUGUGAAAGCCCCGGGCUCAACCUGGGAACGGCAUCCGGAACUGUCAAGCUAGAGUGCAGGAGAGGAAGGUAGAAUUCCCGGUGUAGCGAUGAAAUGCGUAGAGAUCGGGAGGAAUACCAGUGGCGAAGGCGGCCUUCUGGACUGACACUGACACUGAGGUGCGAAAGCGUGGGUAGCAAACAGGAUUAGAUACCCCUGUAGUC
This 465-nucleotide ribosomal RNA is filed under the name Vreelandella stevensii. RNAcentral's name for it is "partial 16S ribosomal RNA". It matches the Rfam family "Bacterial small subunit ribosomal RNA", at positions 338 to 795 of the family's 1533-position model. The record is from RNAcentral. Lineage: Bacteria; Pseudomonadati; Pseudomonadota; Gammaproteobacteria; Oceanospirillales; Halomonadaceae.